RNAcentral lists this ribosomal RNA (2885 nucleotides) under Campylobacter jejuni. RNAcentral describes it as "bacterial LSU rRNA". It matches the Rfam family "Bacterial large subunit ribosomal RNA". The record is from RNAcentral. Lineage: Bacteria; Pseudomonadati; Campylobacterota; Epsilonproteobacteria; Campylobacterales; Campylobacteraceae.
AGAGCGAAUGGUGGAUGCCUUGACUGGUAAAGGCGAUGAAGGACGUACUAGACUGCGAUAAGCUACGGGGAGCUGUCAAGAAGCUUUGAUCCGUAGAUUUCCGAAUGGGGCAACCCAAUGUAUAGAGAUAUACAUUACCUAUAUAGGAGCGAACGAGGGGAAUUGAAACAUCUUAGUACCCUCAGGAAAAGAAAUCAAUAGAGAUUGCGUCAGUAGCGGCGAGCGAAAGCGCAAGAGGGCAAACCCAGUGCUUGCACUGGGGGUUGUAGGACUGCAAUAUGCAAGAGGUAAGUUUAGCAGAACAUUCUGGAAAGUAUAACCAUAGAGGGUGAUAGUCCCGUAUGCGAAAAACAAACCUUAGCUAGCAGUAUCCUGAGUAGGGCGGGACACGAGGAAUCCUGUCUGAAUCCGGGUCGACCACGAUCCAACCCUAAAUACUAAUACCAGAUCGAUAGUGCACAAGUACCGUGAGGGAAAGGUGAAAAGAACUGAGGUGAUCAGAGUGAAAUAGAACCUGAAACCAUUUGCUUACAAUCAUUCAGAGCCCUAUGUAGCAAUACAGGGUGAUGGACUGCCUUUUGCAUAAUGAGCCUGCGAGUUGUGGUGUCUGGCAAGGUUAAGCAAACGCGAAGCCGUAGCGAAAGCGAGUCUGAAUAGGGCGCUUAGUCAGAUGCUGCAGACCCGAAACGAAGUGAUCUAUCCAUGAGCAAGUUGAAGCUAGUGUAAGAACUAGUGGAGGACUGAACCCAUAGGCGUUGAAAAGCCCCGGGAUGACUUGUGGAUAGGGGUGAAAGGCCAAUCAAACUUCGUGAUAGCUGGUUCUCUCCGAAAUAUAUUUAGGUAUAGCGUUGUGUCGUAAUAUAAGGGGGUAGAGCACUGAAUGGGCUAGGGCAUACACCAAUGUACCAAACCCUAUCAAACUCCGAAUACCUUAUAUGUAAUCACAGCAGUCAGGCGGCGAGUGAUAAAAUCCGUCGUCAAGAGGGAAACAACCCAGACUACCAGCUAAGGUCCCUAAGUCUUACUUAAGUGGAAAACGAUGUGAAGUUACUUAAACAACCAGGAGGUUGGCUUAGAAGCAGCCAUCCUUUAAAGAAAGCGUAAUAGCUCACUGGUCUAGUGAUUUUGCGCGGAAAAUAUAACGGGGCUAAAGUAAGUACCGAAGCUGUAGACUUNAAGUGGUAGGAGAGCGUUCUAUUUGCGUCGAAGGUAUACCGGUAAGGAGUGCUGGAGCGAAUAGAAGUGAGCAUGCAGGCAUGAGUAGCGAUAAUUAAUGUGAGAAUCAUUAACGCCGUAAACCCAAGGUUUCCUACGCGAUGCUCGUCAUCGUAGGGUUAGUCGGGUCCUAAGUCGAGUCCGAAAGGGGUAGACGAUGGCAAAUUGGUUAAUAUUCCAAUACCAACAUUAGUGUGCGAUGGAAGGACGCUUAGGGCUAAGGGGGCUAGCGGAUGGAAGUGCUAGUCUAAGGUCGUAGGAGGUUAUACAGGCAAAUCCGUAUAACAAUACUCCGAGAACUGAAAGGCUUUUUGAAGUCUUCGGAUGGAUAGAAGAACCCCUGAUGCCGUCGAGCCAAGAAAAGUUUCUAAGUUUAGCUAAUGUUGCCCGUACCGUAAACCGACACAGGUGGGUGGGAUGAGUAUUCUAAGGCGCGUGGAAGAACUCUCUUUAAGGAACUCUGCAAAAUAGCACCGUAUCUUCGGUAUAAGGUGUGGUUAGCUUUGUAUUAGGAUUUACUCCGAAAGCAAGGAAACUUACAACAAAGAGUCCCUCCCGACUGUUUACCAAAAACACAGCACUCUGCUAACUCGUAAGAGGAUGUAUAGGGUGUGACGCCUGCCCGGUGCUCGAAGGUUAAUUGAUGGGGUUAGCAUUAGCGAAGCUCUUGAUCGAAGCCCGAGUAAACGGCGGCCGUAACUAUAACGGUCCUAAGGUAGCGAAAUUCCUUGUCGGUUAAAUACCGACCUGCAUGAAUGGCGUAACGAGAUGGGAGCUGUCUCAAAGAGGGAUCCAGUGAAAUUGUAGUGGAGGUGAAAAUUCCUCCUACCCGCGGCAAGACGGAAAGACCCCGUGGACCUUUACUACAGCUUGACACUGCUACUUGGAUAAGAAUGUGCAGGAUAGGUGGGAGGCUUUGAGUAUAUGACGCCAGUUGUAUAUGAGCCAUUGUUGAGAUACCACUCUUUCUUAUUUGGGUAGCUAACCAGCUUGAGUUAUCCUCAAGUGGGACAAUGUCUGGUGGGUAGUUUGACUGGGGCGGUCGCCUCCCAAAUAAUAACGGAGGCUUACAAAGGUUGGCUCAGAACGGUUGGAAAUCGUUCGUAGAGUAUAAAGGUAUAAGCCAGCUUAACUGCAAGACAUACAAGUCAAGCAGAGACGAAAGUCGGUCUUAGUGAUCCGGUGGUUCUGUGUGGAAGGGCCAUCGCUCAAAGGAUAAAAGGUACCCCGGGGAUAACAGGCUGAUCUCCCCCAAGAGCUCACAUCGACGGGGAGGUUUGGCACCUCGAUGUCGGCUCAUCGCAUCCUGGGGCUGGAGCAGGUCCCAAGGGUAUGGCUGUUCGCCAUUUAAAGCGGUACGCGAGCUGGGUUCAGAACGUCGUGAGACAGUUCGGUCCCUAUCUGCCGUGGGCGUAAGAAGAUUGAAGAGAUUUGACCCUAGUACGAGAGGACCGGGUUGAACAAACCACUGGUGUAGCUGUUGUUCUGCCAAGAGCAUCGCAGCGUAGCUAAGUUUGGAAAGGAUAAACGCUGAAAGCAUCUAAGCGUGAAGCCAACUCUAAGAUGAAUCUUCUCUAAGCUCUCUAGAAGACUACUAGUUUGAUAGGCUGGGUGUGUAAUGGAUGAAAGUCCUUUAGCUGACCAGUACUAAUAGAGCGUUUGGCUUAUCU